RNAcentral lists this long non-coding RNA (551 nucleotides) under Homo sapiens (human). RNAcentral describes it as "non-protein coding MCHR2-AS1:7". The record is from RNAcentral. Lineage: Eukaryota; Metazoa; Chordata; Mammalia; Primates; Hominidae.
AGCCCGGGCGCCCUUCCUCUCUGCGGGACUGCAGGUCUAUCCGCUAAGCGCGCGUGACCAAAAACGGCUCUCAGCGGGUCCCAGCUGACGGAAGGUGGGGGAGGAGUGCGAGGGUCUCUGAGACAGGUUGGGAGCCAGCCCCACCUCCAUUUCCAAAGCGGGGGUCCAGGCACAGGAACAGCCAAACGCCCGAACCAGCGGGGUUACCUUUGCCACUUCAUCCAAUCCGAGCAUCGGCUGACAAGUUUAUUUAAUCCCUGAACCUGGAUCCAAGGCAUCUCCCUGUAGAAAACAUCAGACCGGGGCAGAGAUUGACAAAGCAACCCAAAGCAGCAGCUGCCAACGGCCGCUGUGCCCACCUCAUCAGCAGCUAAAGAGUAUAAUUUUAAAAAAAGUCACAGAAGAAUGUGGAGACACUUAGCAAAACGGACUCUCAUAAGGAACUUCCAUUUUCUCAACAACUGCUCUUCCAAGAUGCUGCCUCAUUUCAGAGCCAUGUUUUACUCAUGAGCUGGUCCUGUCCAGAAAACAGCCAAUGCUCAUUCCCGACA